GAUGAACGCUGGCGGCGUGCCUAAUACAUGCAAGUCGAGCGAACGGACGAGAAGCUUGCUUCUCUUAUGUUAGCGGCGGACGGGUGAGUAACACGUGAAUAACCUACCUAUAAGACUGGGAUAAGUUCGGGAAACCGGAGCUAAUACCGGAUGAUAUUUUGAACCGCAUGGUUCAAAAGUGAAAGACGGUCUUGCUGUCACUGAUAGAUGGAUCCGCGCUGCAUUAGCUAGUUGGUAAGGUAACGGCUUACCAAGGCAACGAUGGAUAGCCGACCUGAGAGGGUGAUCGGCCACAGUGGAACUGAGACACGGUCCAGACUCCUACGGGAAGCAGAAGUAGGAGAUCUUCCGCAAUGGGCGUAAGCCUGACGGAGCAACGCCGAGUGAGUGAUGAAGGUCUUCGGAUCGUAAAACUAUGUUCUUAGGGACGACCAUAUGUGUACGUAACUGUGCACAUCUUGACGGUACCUAAUCAGAAAGCCACGGCUAACUACGUG
RNAcentral lists this ribosomal RNA (497 nucleotides) under uncultured bacterium. RNAcentral's name for it is "partial 16S ribosomal RNA". It matches the Rfam family "Bacterial small subunit ribosomal RNA", at positions 28 to 507 of the family's 1533-position model. The record is from RNAcentral.